This 636-nucleotide ribosomal RNA is filed under the name uncultured bacterium. RNAcentral describes it as "bacterial SSU rRNA". It matches the Rfam family "Bacterial small subunit ribosomal RNA", at positions 8 to 692 of the family's 1533-position model. The record is from RNAcentral.
AGAGUUUGAUCCUGGCUCAGAACGAACGCUGGCGGCAUGCCUAACACAUGCAAGUCGAACGGCUCUUCGGAGCAGUGGCGCACGGGUGAGUAACGCGUGGGAACCUACCCCGAGGUUCGGAAUAACGGCUGGAAACGGCCGCUAAUACCGGAUGUGUCCUGAGGGGCAAAGGCUUGCCGCCUUGGGAGGGGCCCGCGUCCGAUUAGCUAGUUGGUGAGGUAAUGGCUCACCAAGGCGACGAUCGGUAGCUGGUCUGAGAGGAUGAUCAGCCACACUGGGACUGAGACACGGCCCAGACUCCUACGGGAGGCAGCAGUGGGGAAUAUUGGACAAUGGGCGCAAGCCUGAUCCAGCAAUGCCGCGUGUGUGAUGAAGGCCCUAGGGUUGUAAAGCACUUUCGCCGAUGACGAUGAUGACGGUAGUCGGAUAAGAAGCCCCGGCUAACUCCGUGCCAGCAGCCGCGGUAAUACGGAGGGGGCGAGCGUUGUUCGGAAUUACUGGGCGUAAAGGGCGCGUAGGCGGUGACGUUAGUCGGGCGUGAAAGCCCCGGGCUCAACCUGGGAUGUGCGUUCGAUACUGCGUUGCUCGAGAGCGGAAGAGGGUAGUGGAAUUCCCAGUGUAGAGGUGAAAUUCGUA